RNAcentral lists this long non-coding RNA (759 nucleotides) under Felis catus (domestic cat). RNAcentral describes it as "lncRNA (ENSFCAG00000050089.1)". The record is from RNAcentral. Lineage: Eukaryota; Metazoa; Chordata; Mammalia; Carnivora; Felidae.
GUGCUGGAGACACACAGCGAGUGUGGCCUCGGAAUUACCUCCCAAGUAAAGCCCUUCAUGCAAGUCUCCAACCCUGUCUCCUCCCUGAGGCCUUUUCUCUGAGCGCUGACACAUAGAGUAAGUCUGAGUCACCAGAUGUCUGUGCUGAGCAGAGAGAGCCUCUUCUCCCUCGCCACUGUUGGACCUUUACGCAAACAAGACAGAAACCUCUGUUUCAUAAAUCCAUUCAAUGUCGUGUUUUGUUUGUUUUUUUUUUUAACAGCAGUAAACCUCAGUUGACUGAUUCAGAAGCCAAGUAAAACGAUCAAUGAGAUCCUCUUUCUAUAUCGGUUCCUGAGAAAGGAAUAUCCCCCAAAGACUCAAUCUACCUUGAAAAGAAAACUUUGGCUGCAUCAAGUUCUUCAGUCAAAAAGAAAAAAAAAAUUAGAAUUUUGUCAUGUAUACUAUCCUAAAUCAACUCUCCUGAAAAUUGAUCCCAAGGAAUCAACUGAAGUAAGGAUACCAUUUUUCCAGAAGUCAUCUUCUAAGUUAAAAAAAAUAAAUAAAUUGGGGGUGCCUGGGUGGCUCAGUUGGUUGAGCGUCUGAUGUCAGCUCAGGUCGUGAUCUCAUGGUUCAGAAAUUUGAGUCCUGCAUUGGGCUUUCUGCUCUCAGCACAGAGCCCACUUCAGAUCUUCUGCCCCCCUCUGUCUCUAACCCUCCCCUGCUCAUGCUUUCUCUCUCAAAAAUAAAAAAUAAACAUUAAAAAGAGCUAAAACUGUA